Molecule: small RNA, 111 nt
Filed under: Salmonella enterica
Lineage: Bacteria; Pseudomonadati; Pseudomonadota; Gammaproteobacteria; Enterobacterales; Enterobacteriaceae
Description: partial RtT sRNA
Rfam family: RtT RNA
About the family: This family represents a bacterial cis-regulatory element known as RtT RNA. The exact function of RtT is unknown although it is thought that it may be involved in changing the cellular response in relation to amino acid starvation.
Source: RNAcentral
UAUCUCUCCGUACGGGGAAGGAUGAGAAGCUUCGACUAAGGUUCGAUUCGAGCGCAGCGAGAAAGCGUUGCCGCAGGCAACGACCCGAAGGGUGAGGAGCGGAGCGACGAA